Long non-coding RNA from Podarcis raffonei (Aeolian wall lizard), 537 nucleotides. RefSeq lists it as uncharacterized. Lineage: Eukaryota; Metazoa; Chordata; Lepidosauria; Squamata; Lacertidae. The record is from RefSeq and is a predicted model, not a curated record. The transcript has 4 exons.
GUUGCUGGAAAAAUAUAUAUAGCUAUCAUUCAUGAUAGCCAUCGAUAGCCCUAUCCUCUACGGAUAUCUCUAAUCCAUUUUUAAGCCAUCCCUGGCUUAAAAGGAAGCCUUAAAUAGACUGUGACAACAGGGUCGGGCUCUGGGGGUUAGUAGUGGACCCCCUACUUGGGUGGUGACCUCAUCAGAUGCCCAGCAAAUACCCAUCCUGAUGCUGGCUUUUCCUCCAGCUCUCAACUUGUUUCAGUCCACGUUUGGUUCUCACCUUGUCUUCAAGUUCCUGGCUCUCCCAUCUCACCAGAAGAUGCCACAGUUAGAGGCAGGGCUUUUUUUUCAGCCGGAACUCUCUGGAACUCAGUUCCGGCACAUCUAAGGUGGGCUCCAUUGCCAUUCUGAGAGAACAAGGGAGUUGCUCGCGGCAACCUGAAGCAAGAGGACUCCCAACAGUUUGUUGUCCUGCGUGUGCUAUAAAACUUCCUGUUAAGGACAGUCUGCCACCUCUCCAGCUCAUUGCUUCCAUUGCAGAACUGCUCGCAGAUU